UUGUCAUGGAGCGCAAGAAUGAAAACAAAGACAAGCAAAACAUAACAAAAGAGAAACAAGCAAGCAUGGCAACAUAGUGAUAAUAAUAAAAAUCAGAAAUACAACUAUAUACAAGCAAACUGUUUAUAUGAGAGUAAAUCUUAUUAAAUACACAGAACAUAGUGACACACUCAAAUCCAUUCAUCUUCUCUGUUGCCCACACCAGGCUUUCUAGUUUUUGUAGCUUCACUAUAUAGAACAUUUCAAUGUAAGCACACACCUUGCAGAGACCCCACGUGGUGCACAUAACAUAAGGCUUUGUGAUGGCUUUCUGGAUCAGCCAGCUACCUUUAUCCCUUUAGAAGCAGGAACAUGUCACUCAUGUUAUCCAUCCAUUGAUUAUUUUGAACCUGCACACUCCAGUUAAGGAUGGUAAGGUGUGCCAGUGUAUCUCAGCAGCUUCAGGAGCAACACGUCUCUGGAGGAUGUAAGACUUAAAACUAGAGGAUCUGGAGAAAACCCA
This is a long non-coding RNA of Erpetoichthys calabaricus (reedfish), 502 nucleotides long. RefSeq lists it as uncharacterized. The record is from RefSeq and is a predicted model, not a curated record. The transcript is spliced from 2 exons. NCBI's taxonomy places the organism in Eukaryota, Metazoa, Chordata, Cladistia, Polypteriformes, Polypteridae.